CGGGGCGUGGCUCAGCUGGCUAGAGCGCUCGCUUCGGGUGCGAGAGACCGUGAGUUCAAAUCUCACCGCCCCGA
RNAcentral lists this transfer RNA (74 nucleotides) under Elusimicrobia bacterium GWA2_64_40. RNAcentral's name for it is "tRNA-Pro". It matches the Rfam family "tRNA". From Rfam's summary of the family: Transfer RNA (tRNA) molecules are approximately 80 nucleotides in length. Their secondary structure includes four short double-helical elements and three loops (D, anti-codon, and T loops). Further hydrogen bonds mediate the characteristic L-shaped molecular structure. tRNAs have two regions of fundamental functional importance: the anti-codon, which is responsible for specific mRNA codon recognition, and the 3' end, to which the tRNAs corresponding amino acid is attached (by aminoacyl-tRNA synthetases). tRNAs cope with the degeneracy of the genetic code in two manners: having more than one tRNA (with a specific anti-codon) for a particular amino acid; and 'wobble' base-pairing, i.e. permitting non-standard base-pairing at the 3rd anti-codon position. Lineage: Bacteria; Pseudomonadati; Elusimicrobiota. The record is from RNAcentral. RNAcentral also lists the same sequence under 6 other names.